GCCCUCGUGGUGAAAUGGAUAUCACUACUGGCUUCGGACCAGUCAUUGGGGGUUCGAAUCCCUCCGAGGGCA
RNAcentral lists this transfer RNA (72 nucleotides) under Patescibacteria group bacterium. RNAcentral describes it as "tRNA-Arg". It matches the Rfam family "tRNA". From Rfam's summary of the family: Transfer RNA (tRNA) molecules are approximately 80 nucleotides in length. The record is from RNAcentral.